ACGAGGUCAGAGCGGCGCGCGCCUCGCAAAGCUACGCGCGCCCCCUUGGAGGGCCGAUGCUUCAGGGCCGCGCCGCCCUCUUGUCCACCUCAGGCUUUUGGGGCCUAGUCGUCUCCAACAAAGAGUGAGCCCAGAGCGGUGUGCGACAGACUUAAGCUUCUCCUCACAACAACCCUGUGAAGUAGGUUAGGCUGAGAGAGAAGUGACCGGCCCAGAAUCCCCCAGCAAUGCGCCUUUAUCUCUGAGAGCAGCCCUCCAAGGCGGCCUACAAAGUGACACAAUGGACAUAACUUUUUAAAAAGGAAAGGUGACCUAAAAUGACAUCCAUGUCUGUUUCUGGCUCUCAGGUGGAAAACUGUGUGCAGAGUGUGUUCCCUGCUGGACAUUACAGAGCCAGGGACUGGGACAUGCAGGAAGCCAGGUGGCCUGGCAUCUUUUCAGAAAGUGUGAUUUUCCAUCCCCUGCACCCUCUGUGGACUUUGCUUUGCUGGACUGAACCUAAGGCCCAUCUUCCCCAACAUUCAGGGCUGUAUCCAUUCCACAGGGCAUCUUGGAUUGGAAGAUACCAGAAGAGCAGGAAGAAGGUGGCCUGAGAGAAAUGUGCAGAAAACCUGGGAGAAAGGGCAGAGGUGAAAGGCAUACCUGGCCAGCAGACCCUGCUGAGGGGUUUUUUUUCUGAAAGGGGACAAUUAAUGCAUGCUUGCUAACCAACUUAAUCCCAGACUACAAAUGCUGUUGGAGUGAUUGAUUGAUUAAGUGCCGUCAAGUCGGUGUCAACUCUUAGCAACCACAUAGAUAGAUUCUCUCCAGGAUGAUCUGUCUUCAACUUGGCCAGUGGUGCAUUCGUUGUCGUAAUCGAGUCCAUCCAUCUUGCUGCUGGUCGUCCUCGUCUUCUCUUUCCUUCAACUUUUCCCAGCAUUAUGGACUUCUUAAGGGAGCUGGGUUUUUGCAACAUGUGUCCAAAGUAUGAUAGUUUGAGCCUGGUCAUUUGGGCCUCGAGUGAAAAUUCUGGAUUGAUUUGUUCUCAAAAAAUCUUCUCCAGCACCAAAGUUCAAAAGUGUCAAUACUUUUCCUAUCUUGCUUCAAAGUCCAGCUUUUGCAUCCAUAGAGUGUCACGGGGGAAACCACUGACCGAACGAUUCUAAUCUUUGAAGGUAUAGAUACAUCACGGUAUCUAAAUAUCCUUUCCGAGGCCUUCCUUGCAACCCUUCCAAGUGCUAGUCUGCGGUGUAUUUCUCGACUGCUGGAUCCUUUACUGUUGACGGUCGAUCCUAAAAGGCAGAAGCUCUCCACCACUUCAACGUCUUCAUUAUAAAUUCUGAGGCUGGUUGCUGUGCCCGUUGUCAUUAGUUUAGUCUUCUUUACAACUUUGCAGCUGAAGAUGAUUGGAGUUGUAGUCCAACAGCAGCUGGCGAGCCUCAGAACGGCCACCCGUUCUAGAGAAAUGUCCAGAUGUGGACAAAACCAAACUGAAAUGGGUGCAGUAAUUCUAAAUCAGAUAGAAUAACUGUAGGACUGGGGGGAAGGGAAGGGGAAGAGAAAAAAUAAAUUCACUUUUCACACAAUGAAUGAAUAUGCAUGGAUCCCUGGCUAUUAAGUAGUGUACCUGUAUUCUAGCAGUGUUUGGGGGAACCUAAAGCUUAUUUGAAAGGGGAACACUGGAAAUGCAAAGAUGCCAUGGUAACAGAUGUUUAAAGGAAGCCUCAUCCCCCUCGAGGAGGAAAUCUUGGAAGAACUGAAAUAGGGAGAACUGAAUUAUUAAGCAAGCAAAAACAAGGUGUUAUAAACUGGGGAAGGUCUGUGGGGAAAGAAUGAAUGGGAUAUAGACUUCAUUCAGAAAAGCUGUGCCAGGUUUUUUCUUUUUUCCAUUUCACUGGAAGAAGCAUGCGAAAUACCACCUGUUUCAAUAUGAAAAACACGUUUGCUAUAACUGAGUAAAUUUUUAUUUCUAUGACAGUAAUUGCUUCCGGCAAAGAGAAAGUAGAUUUAAAGGACAAUACCACUAGUGCUGUUAUGCCACAGAUCUGUUAGAAUGAGUGCAAUAAAAGGACGUGUGGAAGUUGUACAA
Hemicordylus capensis (graceful crag lizard) is the source of this 2068-nucleotide long non-coding RNA. RefSeq lists it as uncharacterized. The transcript has 5 exons. The record is from RefSeq and is a predicted model, not a curated record. Lineage: Eukaryota; Metazoa; Chordata; Lepidosauria; Squamata; Cordylidae.